This is a long non-coding RNA of Eptesicus fuscus (big brown bat), 145 nucleotides long. RefSeq lists it as uncharacterized. The record is from RefSeq and is a predicted model, not a curated record. The transcript is spliced from 3 exons. Lineage: Eukaryota; Metazoa; Chordata; Mammalia; Chiroptera; Vespertilionidae.
UGGGAACGUAGCCGAGAACGAAACAGAAGUGGAUCCAAUGGAGCUUAAUGAACGUGCCCCGGGAGGGAAGCACUCUCGUGUACUGCCACUCGAUGAAGAAAGAAACAGACACAGAAAGACACAGGAGCCUUCAUAAGGAAAUGAA